CAGCAGGGCGUCUGCUCGGCCAGGUCUCACCACCCUGCGGGGGUGCAACUCGGUGCAGGUGCACCCCGGGAGAAGCGGGUGAGCCUGUGCUCAGUCCAGAAGCAGAGGAGGAUCAGAGUGUUAGGCACCUCCCCUCACGUCCACUGACCCCCGCCAAAGCCCCAGUAAGACUGGGGCUCUGGGCCUCAGCCACCAGGUCCAACCUUCACCCCACAGGGUUGAGUGGCCCCUUCCCUCUUUUGGUUCCAAACAGGAUGCGGAACUGGUCUGUAGACUCCUUACCACCUAGAAAACUCCUAUGUGUACUUCAAGGCCCUGCUCACAUGCCCCUCUCAAAGUGGAGAGGGAUUGGCACCCUCUGGCUUUGCUGUGCUCCCACCAAGCACCUGCCGCCUGCCACAAGCUGUCUGCCCAGUCGGACGCGGCCCUGUAUGACUGGGAUCAGAGCCUUUUCUCAGAAGAAUGGAGGAGGAGAUUAUGCACUCAGAGCUGGUGAUCUUCGCAGGGACGACCUUGGGGCUGUUGUACAUAGGCUUUAUUCCUCCUCCCCGUGCGCAGUGUGGCGGGGAAGGGUGCUUUCUGGUGGGCGUGGGGGUGAGCGCAGACAGUGCUCCCCAGGGUGCGCUGCAUCGCUUCCCAGGUGCUCUUGGUCUGGGGGCUCUGGCCUCGUCGCCUGCCAGGCUGCUAGCUGGAAUGUGGGUUGGUGCAGCGAGGGCCAGGGCGUGUCCUGCGUGGCGAAGUGCUGAGGAGCUGUGGCCAUGGGUGGCCGUGGAGGGUGAGGCUGAGGCUUGGUGUGGCUGUCUGCAUCUUAG
RNAcentral lists this long non-coding RNA (812 nucleotides) under Marmota monax (woodchuck). Lineage: Eukaryota; Metazoa; Chordata; Mammalia; Rodentia; Sciuridae. The record is from RNAcentral.